UGCGUAGGCGGCGUAUUAAGUCAGUGGUGAAAUCCCUCGGCUCAACCGAGGAACUGCCAUUGAUACUGGUAUGCUAGAGUAUAGUUGGCGUAGGCGGAAUGUAUCAUGUAGCGGUGAAAUGCUUAGAUAUGAUACAGAACACCGAUCGCGAAGGCAGCUUACGAAACUAUAACUGACGCUCAGGAACGAACGCGUGGGGAGCGAACAGGAUUAGAUACCCUGGUAGUCC
Molecule: ribosomal RNA, 229 nt
Filed under: uncultured bacterium
Lineage: Bacteria
Description: partial 16S ribosomal RNA
Rfam family: Bacterial small subunit ribosomal RNA
Source: RNAcentral